GAUGAACGCUGGCGGCGUGCCUAAUACAUGCAAGUCGAGCGAACAGACGAGGAGCUUGCUCCUUUGACGUUAGCGGCGGACGGGUGAGUAACACGUGGGUAACCUACCUAUAAGACUGGGAUCACUUCGGGAAACCGGAGCUAAUACCGGAUAAUAUUUCGAACCGCAUGGUUCGAUAGUGAAAGAUGGCUUUGCUAUCACUUAUAGAUGGACCUGCGCCGUAUUAGCUAGUUGGUAAGGUAACGGCUUACCAAGGCAACGAUACGUAGCCGACCUGAGAGGGUGAUCGGCCACACUGGAACUGAGACACGGUCCAGACUCCUACGGGAGGCAGCAGUAGGGAAUCUGCCGCAAUGGGCGAAAGCCUGACGGAGCAACGCCGCGUGAGUGAUGAAGGUCUUCGGAUCGUAAAACUCUGUUAUUAGGGAAGAACAAACGUGUAAGUAACUGUGCACGUCUUGACGGUACCUAAUCAGAAAGCCACGGCUAACUACGUG
RNAcentral lists this ribosomal RNA (497 nucleotides) under uncultured bacterium. RNAcentral's name for it is "partial 16S ribosomal RNA". It matches the Rfam family "Bacterial small subunit ribosomal RNA", at positions 28 to 507 of the family's 1533-position model. The record is from RNAcentral.